CUCAAAUCUGAAGACCCUAGGUCUCUAUCACUUAUGGUUUACCAGUUAGAAAUGCAUAUAACUUAUAUCAUUUACAUAAGGGGAAAUAACUCUCAUAUGGAGUCUAUGGAAAGCUUCGGUCCAAAUGAAUUGCCUAAUCCUGAAGAAGUAACGAGCAAUUUGGUAAAAUAAAUUUGUCGUAAUCUUUUACGGUUGCGAAGGAGUAGUGGCCACAAGAAAAACAGUGUUUGGGGAGAUAACUCUUACAACACAAAGUAUUUGGUUACGCAGUUGUCAGUUUUAAAAGCGCAUACACUUUACGAUAUCAUAUUCCAAAUAUCGAAGCGACAUCUUUUGAAACAUCAAUACUACGAAGGAAAAAAAUUAGGCGGAAGAAAAAAAAAAAAAAAAAAAAAAAUAAUAAUCAGAACAAAUUCAAUAGGUCUUUCCACGGAAAGGUGGAAAGACCUAAUAAUCAGAACAAAACCUAUAGGUCUUUCCACGGAAAGGUGGAAAGACCUAAUAAUAAUCAGAACAAACCCUAUAGGUCUUUCCACGGAAAGGUGGAAAGACCUAAUAAUAAUCAGAACAAAAAC
RNAcentral lists this long non-coding RNA (575 nucleotides) under Mytilus galloprovincialis (Mediterranean mussel). Lineage: Eukaryota; Metazoa; Mollusca; Bivalvia; Mytilida; Mytilidae. The record is from RNAcentral.